CCCCCACCACCAGCUCACCCAGAACCGUCAGGGAGCACCUUCACUUAUUCAAAGUCAUUGCGUUUGAGCUUAGUCCUCACAGCAGAAACAAGUGAGGUCACCCAGGCGUGCAGUUGAGGAUCACACAGCCAGCCGGGCUCCAGCCCAUGCCAGUCCAACUCCUGGCGGCAGGAUUUUGCAUCCUGCCCCCUGGGCCGGAUGGCCACGGGGCUGCCACAAGGCCCAUGAUGAGCUGCCACCUCUGGGGCAUUGCCUGCACUUGGCACGAGGACUCACCAGCAUGGGAAGCACAAGGGCCUGCCAGGUGGCCCUCACAGACAUCCUUGCAGGAUCUGACCCUUCCACUGUGCCUCUGCCCUCGCCCCGAGGCCAGCACCUGCGGCUGCCUCUGCUCCUCUGCCCAGGCUGCCCAGGGCGUGGGGCCCUCCUUCUGCUCCCCUUGUAGCUGCUGCCCUCCACUCGGAGGGCAAGUCAGAGUCUCCUGAGCAGGUGAUGGCGAGCCCCAUAGGCACCCAUGAGACAUCCGGGAUGCAGACAGAGAAAGGCCCUGGUGGUGGGUGGUGGCGAGUUCACUCCAACGGGGGCAGCCCCACAGUGAAAACAUCAAGUGAGCAGAUGGUGCCAGGAGUGAGGCCCCACUGCCUGGAAGGGACCAGCCAGGAGAAGCUGGUGGCAGUAGAGAGUCUCCAUGUGGUGUCUGGGGAUGAGGGCUCCAGGUGGACAGAAGGACGCCCUGAGGCUGGACCUGUCAGUUGGAGGAGAGCGGGAGAGGUAGGCGGAGGUAACUGGCACCCCAGAUAGGGCCUUGAGGGAAAGGACACUCGGCAGGGUGUAGGGCUGGGGCUGCAGGCCUGUGUGGGAUCAUGAGGCUGAGACUUAGAAGGCAACUGCUGGAAUGGGGAGGGGCCCCAGGCUUCGUGGGAGGCCGGAUGUGUCUUCAAGGGGGUCCCCCUUUGACUAAAACCCCCUCUACCAGCUCCGCUGGCCGAGACUUCCCAGAAGUCCGUCUACAUUCACCGUCCUCAGCCCACUCCUUCCCACCCCAGGGAGUCCACACUGUCAGGGUCUCCUCUUCUGCCCCCCAGGGGCUGGCUAAAACACAGAGCCCGCCUCGGAUAUCCAGGUGAAAUACCAAAGGCCACCUGCAGGGAGUGCUCCUGUGAACAUGCAGGUGGUCCUAAAUGAACACACCUGCUUUGGGUAAAUAAGAUGCCCCACAUAUGCCAAGGAGGUGUGCCCAGAGCGGAUGCCCAGGAUUCGGGCCCCUGGUCAGCAACUGACUGGGACCUGCUGUUCAGAUGAAUCUCAGUGCCCUGGGGACCAGCUAGGUCACUGCAGCCAUCGACCUUUCUAGGCGUCCGUGCCCCUCA
This 1370-nucleotide long non-coding RNA is filed under the name Homo sapiens (human). RNAcentral's name for it is "HSALNT0027325". Lineage: Eukaryota; Metazoa; Chordata; Mammalia; Primates; Hominidae. The record is from RNAcentral.